This 383-nucleotide ribosomal RNA is filed under the name uncultured eukaryote. RNAcentral describes it as "partial 18S ribosomal RNA". It matches the Rfam family "Eukaryotic small subunit ribosomal RNA", at positions 592 to 976 of the family's 1831-position model. The record is from RNAcentral.
CAAUAGCGUAUAUUAAAGUUGUUGCAGUUAAAAAGCUCGUAGUUGGAUUUGUGGUGUGUCCAGUCGGCCUUUGCUCUCUGAGUGAUUGUGCUGUACUGGUCUGCCAUGUUUGGGUGGAAUCUGUGUGGCAUUAAGUUGUCGUGCAGGGGAUGCCCAUCGUUUACUGUGAAAAAAUUAGAGUGUUCAAAGCAGGCUUAUGCCGUUGAAUAUAUUAGCAUGGAAUAAUGAUAUAGGACCUUGGUACUAUUUUGUUGGUUUGCGCACUAAGGUAAUGAUUAAGAGGGACAGUUGGGGGUAUUUGUAUUCCAUUGUCAGAGGUGAAAUUCUUAGAUUUUUGGAAGACAAACUAUUGCGAAAGCAUUUACCAAGGAUGUUUUCAUUAA